ACCCAUCGCCAUCCAGCUAUAGCACGGAUCGAGCAGCUGCUGUCCGGCUUCAAUUUGUAGCCCCGCACACCACCAUCAUUGCUCGGCACCGCAGCAGCCACUGUGUUGCCGCUCUGGCAGCCCCGUUUCCCCAUUAAAGGUUGUGUAGAAGCAGAUAUUGAUAAGUAGCAAAACCAUGUCGUCAAAGGAAGGGAUAAAUCUUAAGGAUUUGUGAGGCAGAUUACCUUGAUUGAGUGGGAAAAUAUGAAUAGUCACUGUUGUCGUCCUUGUGAGUUCUAGAGAGUGAAUUUCAGAUUGAGAGUUCUUGAGUUUUGGUGAGAGUGAAAAGUAUGAGCAGCGGCUGUGUUUGAUUUAGGGUAGCAGGAUGAAUAAAUUGGUAUGUAAAAAUAGAAUGAAUCGAAGUUGAAAAACGUGAUUAGGGUGUUACAAAUUUGGGUGAUUGAUUGCACAAUCAAUCUAGAAUUAAUUGUAAUUGAUUGAUUUUAUUUGGGA
Molecule: long non-coding RNA, 492 nt
Organism: Salvia hispanica
Lineage: Eukaryota; Viridiplantae; Streptophyta; Magnoliopsida; Lamiales; Lamiaceae
Source: RefSeq, a predicted model, not a curated record